GAUGAACGCUGGCGGCGUGCCUAAUACAUGCAAGUCGAGCGAACAGACGAGGAGCUUGCUCCUCUGACGUUAGCGGCGGACGGGUGAGUAACACGUGGAUAACCUACCUAUAAGACUGGGAUAACUUCGGGAAACCGGAGCUAAUACCGGAUAACAUGUUGAACCGCAUGGUUCAACAGUGAAAGACGGUUUUGCUGUCACUUAUAGAUGUAUCCGCGCCGCAUUAGCUAGUUGGUAAGGUAACGGCUUACCAAGGCAACGAUGCGUAGCCGACCUGAGAGGGUGAUCGGCCACACUGGAACUGAGACACGGUCCAGACUCCUACGGGAGGCAGCAGUAGGGAAUCUUCCGCAAUGGGCGAAAGCCUGACGGAGCAACGCCGCGUGAGUGAAGAAGGUCUUCGGAUCGUAAAACUCUGUUAUUAGGGAAGAACAAAUGUGUAAGUAACUAUGCACGUCUUGACGGUACCUAAUCAGAAAGCCACGGCUAACUACGUG
This 497-nucleotide ribosomal RNA is filed under the name uncultured bacterium. RNAcentral describes it as "partial 16S ribosomal RNA". It matches the Rfam family "Bacterial small subunit ribosomal RNA", at positions 28 to 507 of the family's 1533-position model. The record is from RNAcentral.